GUGGCGCAAUGGUAACUCAUCUGACUCCAUAUCAGAAAGUUGCGUGUUCGAAUCACGUC
This 59-nucleotide transfer RNA is filed under the name Schistosoma margrebowiei. It matches the Rfam family "tRNA", at positions 7 to 64 of the family's 71-position model. Rfam says of the family: Transfer RNA (tRNA) molecules are approximately 80 nucleotides in length. Lineage: Eukaryota; Metazoa; Platyhelminthes; Trematoda; Strigeidida; Schistosomatidae. The record is from Rfam by way of RNAcentral.